RNAcentral lists this unclassified non-coding RNA (207 nucleotides) under Hevea brasiliensis (rubber tree). Lineage: Eukaryota; Viridiplantae; Streptophyta; Magnoliopsida; Malpighiales; Euphorbiaceae. The record is from RNAcentral.
GGUGCUUUGAUCCAUCAAACUCCACCUCAGUUCCUGCGUACUUCGAGUAGAUGACUUGGGCACCAGUCUUCACACUAAUGUCCACUUUGGUUUUGCCAGCUGAAUGACCCUCCCCAACAGCAACCACCUCACCUCCAUUAGGUUUCGACUGAACUGAUACUGGAAGUAGGAUACCACCAACAGUCUUCUCCUCUGCAGUCUUAAUCU